Paramisgurnus dabryanus is the source of this 1710-nucleotide non-coding RNA. NCBI's taxonomy places the organism in Eukaryota, Metazoa, Chordata, Actinopteri, Cypriniformes, Cobitidae. The record is from RefSeq and is a predicted model, not a curated record.
GAGUUGGAAUGUUCAGAAAAGCAAACAAAUAGCCUGUUCAUUACCAAAACACCAAUCACCCAUCAAGCAGAAAUAACUAAGUAGCUGUACUUUCUUGUUGCAAACUUUUAACAGAGUUGUAUGUGUUGUCAUGUCUUUAUAUAAUAAUCACAUCUGAUGAAAUUUCCGUUUAGACUAUAAAAUGAGCAAGAAGCACAAACUUUACUGUCAUGUUUUUAGACAGUAUACUCAACAACAAACACGUUGCAAUAGUUCUUAAUGUUACAGCGUCAGUUCCGCGUUCUGGAUUCAUUACAAGUUUUCAAAAAGCACGAGCACACAAACGAGUUCUCAAAAAAAAUACAGAUUAAAAAUAAAAACUACUUUGUGCAAGUUAAUAAGUGUUUCAAAUGGCAUCGUUUUUGUUUGUAAUUUAAAGUUUCUAUUGAAGAAUUUAGAUAAAAGUUUGAUGUCAAUAACCAAUACUUAACACAGAAAAUGUAAAGCAUCUCCUUGUCUUAAUUAAAAUAAAUCGGUGCUUACCCCAAGUAUAGACGUAGCCAUAUCCAGGCCCUUUCCUAGAGCAACUCUUUGAAGAGAACAAUGAGUGAAUGUUGCUGUGUGACUGAGGGACACUGCGCUCAAGCUUUCUCUCUCUACUCGAGAUGUAUAGUGAGCGCGUGCUUUGAAGUACAGCUGGCUGCAAUACGCAGCCAAUCUGAGCGCGCGCCGCGACGCGUCCGACCAAUAAGCGACGCGACCAUGACAGAAAUACUAAAGCUGUACGUCAAUCAAUGACUGGGGUACUGAUCCUACUGUCAUGCAAUAAGCUAUCAGCUAUUUUUCAACGUUUUAUAUAUAUAUUUGGCCAUCAAGGCGCAGUAUCUGCACAGAGUUUAGUGCUCGGGGCUUAUUUUGGUAUUUAAUAGGCAUCUUGCGGCGAGCCCAAAAUAUUUCGAACUUUCAAAUUAGGACCGGUCACCGCAGAAGAUUACACCUGGAUCAAGAGGACUGAUCUCACAACAGGUCUGAUCUGGUCUGUGUGUGCACCACAUCUCUCUGUUUGCAGGAAGUCACAACGGUGCGCCGCAUCCCAAGGUUUCCUCUUCUGCAUCACUGAGCCAGAUAAAAACACUGACUUCAGGCACCACCAACGCUGCCGUUCGCCCUCGCAAACACACUCACACCUGCCAGGACGUAACGUGCAGAAGGAAGACGCAGCCGCUGCUGUCCCCACUGGAGCAGAGAGGACGCGAGCCUUUGAUGUUCCACUCAAAAUUAUUAAUUCCCAGCGUCAGGUUUGCAGUUUCAUCUGCGUUUCAAGUCAGAAUCUCACUGUUCGAGCCAAGCUUCUGCUAUGCAAAUCAGUGCCUAAUGUGCAUGCUGUGUUUGGUGGGAAUCUUAAUGUAUUAGUUUAGAGAAAACGAAUGGCAUCGGUGUCAGUUGAUAUUGAUCUGAAAGCUUGAUAGACGCUCCCUGCUGGGCAUCAGAUGAGCUUCAUGUCUCCGCAAGGCCUUUAAAAACCCCACGCCAAAAGUUUUGGCACAUGACUUGAAAACUAAUGUAUGACAUAGAGUAACACAUUAGCAUACAUUCUUAACUGUUUGAUAAAACACAAGUCAUGUCAAAUAGAUACAUGACCUCAAUAUGACAAUAAUAAACUAUUAAAGAUACAGUUGACUUAAAAUAAUUUAGUUAUGUUUUAUUUACACUCAUGUCAUUUCAAUGUAU